Lactarius sanguifluus is the source of this 97-nucleotide non-coding RNA. The record is from the annotation of a GenBank genome assembly. Lineage: Eukaryota; Fungi; Basidiomycota; Agaricomycetes; Russulales; Russulaceae.
GCCUGCUUAGCUCAGUGGUAGAGCGCGUCACUUGUACGUUCUGGUGGAAAACUAGAUCUGCAUGACGAGGUCAGUCGUUCAAACCGGCUAGUUGGCA